This 102-nucleotide microRNA precursor is filed under the name Marmota monax (woodchuck). The record is from RNAcentral. Lineage: Eukaryota; Metazoa; Chordata; Mammalia; Rodentia; Sciuridae.
AGUGGGAUAACUGGGUCAUAUUAUGGCUCAUUCCUAGUUCUUUGAGGAAUCUUCAUACUGUUUUCCAGAGUGGUUGCACUAAUUUGCAAUCCCACCAACAAU